This 332-nucleotide long non-coding RNA is filed under the name Citrus maxima (pomelo). Its description in RNAcentral is "long non-coding RNA (CMAX_LNC001546)". Lineage: Eukaryota; Viridiplantae; Streptophyta; Magnoliopsida; Sapindales; Rutaceae. The record is from RNAcentral.
UUGACUUGAGUGUCGAAGUGUGAUCUCCGGCCACCGAUGGCUUCACCUCUAACAUUCUUUUCAUUGUUUUGCAAGUCUAAGGUGUCCUUGCACGCUUUCUCACUCCAUUACUGUCAUCCUCACAUUGCGAUUAAGUGAGGUACCCUAUAUCUUGAAAAUAAAUUUAUUGUUUUAGCCAAGUGUUCCUCUUACUUUUCGCACCCAAAAUCUACCUAAAACAAUCAUCUUCAUCUUUAUCAAGACCAAACACUUCUAUAUAGCUAUCUAGUUAUUCUAUUCAUCAUGUAUAAUGGAAAAUCUAUGUAACCUCCAAUUUAUAUAGUUAAUGAGUG